This is a long non-coding RNA of Humulus lupulus (European hop), 1708 nucleotides long. RefSeq lists it as uncharacterized. The record is from RefSeq and is a predicted model, not a curated record. Lineage: Eukaryota; Viridiplantae; Streptophyta; Magnoliopsida; Rosales; Cannabaceae. The transcript has 7 exons.
UUUUUUCACACGGUCCCAAUUAACCAAAAAACAAAGAAAAAAACCGACCAGUCGGUCCCCGAUUCCCCUCUCUCUCUCUUGUUUCUCUGUGUUUACCCCCAGACUAAAAAAUGUGUUAUCAUCCUCUCUCCUUCUCUCUCAUUAUUUCCUUCUUUUUUUCUUCUUUUUCUUGUAUUCUUUUUUAAUUGUCUAUGUCUCAUAAUUCAGAUCUCUCUUUCUCUUUCUCUUUUUUUUUCUUCUCCUUUUUCCUCAUCGUUCUCUCUCCUCUCUCUUGGAUCUCUUUCUCCCACCAUACCUCUCUCCUUCACUCUUUCUCUCUCGCCUGUGUCUUUGUGGAGCCCGACUGCCACCUUCCCCUACACGCGCCGGCUAGGGAUCUGCAGAGGCCGUCGAAGCUUCAACCCACGCAGGCCAUCGUGGUUCCCCUGAUUGAUCUUCUUUUGCAGUGUAAGGGCUCCUCUUUGGGAAACUUACUUCUGUCAAGUUACAGACACUCACUCAUCAGGAGAAGCUUGCUUUCUGGAUCAAUAUCUAUAAUUCUUGCAUGAUGAACGCAUUCCUGGACCAUGGAAUACCAGAGAGUCCUGAAAUGGUUGUUGCCCUGAUGCAAAAGAGUCCAGAUGGUGAAAUUAUAGAUUGUGUUUUGUCUCAUCAACAACCAGCUUUUGACCAUCCUCAGUUGAAGGGACGAAAGCCAUUGGAAUAGGCCAAAAACUCAUAAAGAUCAUCCUAAUAGUACUAUGAUGAGGACUCGGGAGCUACCAAAAUAUUGAGUAUACUAACAGAAGCAAUAGCAAUUGGAAGAACAUUUGCAGCCAUGAAGGACUAUCAAAUUGAUGGCAACAAAGAAAUUGUGGCAUUAGGAACAAUGAACAUUAUUGGUUCUUUGACCUCUUGUUAUGUAGCUACAGGUGAUCCAGGAAUAGUCACUAAAAAUUAAUAAAAUUUGACACACAUAUAUUAUGUAUUGGUAAAAUUAUUAAUAGUUGGUACAGCAAUUAACUAAUACACAAUGAUUACCAAAUAUUAUAGGUUUCUUCAAGUUUAAUUUGGUUUCUUUCUGUUUGUAAGGAAAGAGUGUUUCUUCAUAGCCUUCUGGACUAAGUUAAGGAGAAGAAGGAACCAAGAACCGGCCACAGUAAGAGAUCUAUGCUACUAUAAAGACUGGGUCCAUAGCCAUUGUAGCAUCAACACUAGAUUCUUUGUUGGAUCUCAUGGCUGGUGGCAUACUUUGGUUCACUCACUUGUCAAUGAAAAGUAUAAAUAUUUAUAGAUACCCCAUUGGAAAAUUAAGGGUGCAACCUGUGGCAUAAUCAUUUUUGCUGCUAUCAUGACGACACUAGCUACAAUCUGUAGCUUAAUUUGUUGAUAGUUUUCACAGAUUUUUCUCUUUCUUGCUUCAUAUCUACAUUGAAGGCUGUUUGGCUUCCUUAGUGAGCACAUAUAUCAUCUAGUGUAUUUUACUCUGUUUGUUACAGAGUAGAUAAAUUCAUGAGUCUAGGAUGAAACAAGGAAAAAAUAAAGCUUAUUGAGUGACUUUGUUUUAUUAAAUUUGUCUAAAGAAGACGUGUUAUUUGACUCUAGAAAUUUUCUUUGGUCAUUUUCUGCCGGAAAUCUCUAAAGUAUAUGCUCAUGAUUGCCAACUACAGACACUUAAUAAGGUACUUAUUUUAUUUUAUUAUUUUUCAUGUACUUAUUUCUUUAUUUC